Long non-coding RNA from Zingiber officinale, 1290 nucleotides. RefSeq lists it as uncharacterized. The record is from RefSeq and is a predicted model, not a curated record. NCBI's taxonomy places the organism in Eukaryota, Viridiplantae, Streptophyta, Magnoliopsida, Zingiberales, Zingiberaceae. The transcript is spliced from 5 exons.
UUUGGCAUUGUUAGAAGAUUUGUCCGGCGGUAACCCUAGACAUCAAACAAGCAUUUUAUAUCGAAUCGUUUGAUAUUCCUCUUUUUUUUUUUUUUUUUCUCGGAAUACAGGUCUGUGGAUCCUCGUCGUGGUUUCCGCUCUGGGCGAUGGGAGGAGGGCAAUGGUUUUGGCAAGGCUACAGACUGCAGCAGUGCUCUCCGGAAGGGAAAGGCCGGAGAACUGAAACAUUGAUGACGUUCCAAUGGCUGCUGAUGAAGAUCGAGGAAUGGGCAUGACCUGGUGAUGCUGUUCUGGAUGGAUGCGCUUUCGUGCCUCCCUGCAUGCCAACAACAGCUCCAGAAAUGAUCCAGUUUGGAAGUAUGGGGGGUCUUCCUAUCGUCUCUGUGUAAAGCUCAAGGAGCUCAACAGGUUCAACUACCUCAAUCUGUAUCCUGUCAACCUUUGUGAGAUCAAAAACUGAGUAAUUGUACCCUUCAAGGUAAAGGGAUUUCAUUCUUGAGGUAAUGUAGAAAGGAGAAGGAGCAUAAGUUGUACUCCAGUCACCUCCUGAUCUGACGAUGUAAAAAGUAGAACUUAUAAUUCUGUGAUUCCAUUUCAUGACAAUACUGCAGCAAAUUAUGGCUGGUAGUAGUACCUGUAACUAACCAAAUUGGCAGCAAAGGUGAUAGGCUGAUCUCCUCGUCCUAUACCUUGUUCCUGCACCAGAAUUGGCACCCUCUUUCCUUUGAACUCGACAUGGGAAAACUGCUCACCGAAACCAUAAAACCUCUCAUCUUUAUCGCUUGCAUAUGUGAUGAAAACUUUGUUGAACUCGGUGAUAAUUCCCUUCUUUCCCUCUUGUUCAUCAUGCGAUGAAAGUGCAACAAAACCUUUAUUACUUGACAUACAGGACUGCAUUUCUGAUCGAAUUCGCCAAACUUGAGAUGAAACCCAAUUUGAUUCUUACUCUUUUGCUCAAGCAGAAACCAAUACCUUGCAACAAGUGAAGAUUUCCUGGAACAACCAAAUCUCAAUCUUUUCUUCCCCAAGUUCUUCUUAGCAGUUGAGUUAGUCUUUUGAUUGAAGACCCUUCCCGCGAUCAUCAGAAUAGGGAAUUUUGAUUCCUCUACCAACUCACGAAUGUCUUCAUUGCUUGAAUUUGGAAACCCAGAUAUGAAAUAAGCAUCACCGUCAUGGAUAACAAAGGAACCUCUGCUUUCCUCGGCAUGACUUUGAACUGCUGCCGCCGAAAUAAACGCCUCUCCAGGGAUUGUAGACCAUACGCUUCGGCUCGGCUGAGUUCGGUGUGAG